Molecule: long non-coding RNA, 202 nt
Organism: Sipha flava (yellow sugarcane aphid)
Lineage: Eukaryota; Metazoa; Arthropoda; Insecta; Hemiptera; Aphididae
Exons: 2
Source: RefSeq, a predicted model, not a curated record
CGCAGGUAAUCGCUCGUGUUCGAGGUUCACGGCCCUGUCUGGCAAACAAAGACCAUAGAAAAGAGAAAAACAAAAUCAUGGAAAUCAGUAUCACCGGCAAAAAAAUUGAACCAAUGAAAUUGAAAUCGUAUAUAGAUAAAAUUUAAAAAUUCAUUGAAAAUGAAGAUACGAGUGAACCUACUUGAUGAAAGUGUGAAUUCAA